UACACUUGAAUUAUUGAUUGAUAUUAUC
Molecule: small RNA, 28 nt
Filed under: Bombyx mori (domestic silkworm)
Lineage: Eukaryota; Metazoa; Arthropoda; Insecta; Lepidoptera; Bombycidae
Description: ovarian small RNA-20234
Source: RNAcentral